This 449-nucleotide unclassified non-coding RNA is filed under the name Hevea brasiliensis (rubber tree). The record is from RNAcentral. Lineage: Eukaryota; Viridiplantae; Streptophyta; Magnoliopsida; Malpighiales; Euphorbiaceae.
CUUUAUUUUACUUUCUCAUAAUCUAAUCAAAUAUAAAAAUUGUACAUUCCAAAGAAAAUUGAAAUUAAAACCAAAAAUGAUAAUGUUAGAUUUCUAAUAUCACUUUCUUGGAAAUCUACUUUCACAAGAAAGUGAUUUUGACUGGAUAUAUUUAAUUCCGAUAACCAAAUGACCCUGAAAAUAAAAUAUUUAAAGUGGAUUGGGACGCAAAUAUAUACCAAAUUUUGUGAAUAGCAAACCAAGUGGCAUUCCCAAAUGCAAAGCUGGAGGCAAGGAAAGAGAGAGAACAAGAAGCAUUUAGGUUACAUUUGGUAGAGCCUAAUAUAAUGUAAUGUGAUCAAUUAUGUAAUGCAAUCAAAAUUGUAAUGCAAUGUAAUUAUCAUUACAUCUCUCUGUUUGGUUGCAAAAUAAAAAUACAAGUAGUGUAAUGUAAUGAUAAUUUUUAUUUU